Raphanus sativus (radish) is the source of this 704-nucleotide long non-coding RNA. RefSeq lists it as uncharacterized. The transcript has 2 exons. NCBI's taxonomy places the organism in Eukaryota, Viridiplantae, Streptophyta, Magnoliopsida, Brassicales, Brassicaceae. The record is from RefSeq and is a predicted model, not a curated record.
UUCUAAUUGUUUUCUGAGAACAGAUCGCGUGAGAGAGAGAGAGAGAGAGCGAGGUCAAAAGAGAGAGAGAGAGAGAGAGAGAGAGAGAGAGAGAGAGAGAGAGAGAGAGAGGCGACUGGGUGCCGUGCUCGACGCCCUAGCAAACCUUGGCCUCCUUCUCUUCUUCUUCCUCGUCGGCCUCCUUCUCUUCUUCUUUCUCUAGACUCUCUGAUUUUCGAUUUAUCUUUUCAUAUUCAUGCUAAGUACUGAUAGAUCUGUGUUGUGGUUGUCAAAAUCUGUUAGAUUAAGGUUCUCUGAUUUUGUUGCUGCGUUUAAACUCUUCAUAUAUUAGCUGAAAAAGUAUAUGGCUUCAAAGAUAAGUGCUGGAAAGACAGAUGAUUCUGAGUACGAGAUCAUCGAAGGUGGCUCUGAGAUAACCGAACCCAUCUUACAAAAGGCUGAACAUGGCGUCUCCUGCGCCUAAAAGAGGAGGGAGCGAGAAGCUUGGCGAGAUCUGUCAAUGAGAAACAAAAGCUUAAGUCGGAGAUGGCAGAGAAACCUAAUGGUGGUGGUGUAGGUGACCACAGCUUUAGGUUUUGGUUUAUUAGGUCUGGUUUCAUUUUUUUUGGUUUAUUAGGUUUUGGUUUAAUUUUCUUGGUCAAUGUAUAAAAUGAUUUCAUUUGUAAAAAAAAAUUUAAUUAAUAAUAAAAUUUAAUUUUUAAUUA